RNAcentral lists this ribosomal RNA (1232 nucleotides) under metagenome. RNAcentral describes it as "bacterial LSU rRNA". It matches the Rfam family "Bacterial large subunit ribosomal RNA", at positions 1564 to 2808 of the family's 2925-position model. The record is from RNAcentral.
UGAGUACGAGAUGCUACGGCAUCGAAGCAGUCUAUGUCAUACUUCCAAGAAAAGCUUGCACUGUCAGAAACAGAUAAUGCCUGUACCAUAACCGACACAGGUGGGUAGGUAGAGUAUACUAAGGGGCGCGAGAUAACUCUCUCUAAGGAACUCGGCAAAAUGACUCCGUAACUUCGGGAGAAGGAGUGCCUUAUUUUUAAGGUUGCAAUAACAAGAUCCAAGCAACUGUUUACCAAAAACACAGGUCUCCGCUAAGUCGUAAGACGAUGUAUGGGGGCUGACGCCUGCCCAGUGCCAGGGUUAAAGAAGUCGGUUAGCAUUCGCGAAGCUGGUAACUGAAGCCCUGGUGAACGGCGGCCGUAACGAUAACGGUCCUAAGGUAGCGAAAUUCCUUGUCGGGUAAGUUCCGACCCGCACGAAAGGCGUAAUGAUUUGGAUACUGUCUCGGAGAGGGGCUCGGUGAAAUAGACUUGUCUGUGAAGAUGCGGACUACCUGCACCUGGACAGAAAGACCCUAUGAAGCUUUACUGUAACUUGAAAUUGAAAUUGGACUUUAUUUGCGCAGUAUAGGUGGGAGGCGUUGAAAAUAUUCUUGCGGGAAUAUUGGAGCCAUCAGUGAGAUACCACUCUUGUAAUGUUAGAUUUCUAACUUUAUAUCAUUAUCUGGUUAAAGAACAGUUUCAGGCGGGCAGUUUGACUGGGGCGGUCGCCUCCCAAAUGGUAACGGAGGCGCACAAAGGUUUCCUCUGAACGGGUAGAAAUCGUAUCUAGAGUGUAAAGGCAUAAGGAAGCUUGACUGUGAGACCUACAAGUCGAGCAGGGACGAAAGUCGGUCUUAGUGAUCUGACGGUGCUGAGUGGAAAGGCCGUCACUCAACGGAUAAAAGUUACUCUAGGAUAACAGGCUGAUCUCCCCCAAGAGUUCACAUCGACGGGGAGGUUUGGCACCUCGAUGUCGGCUCAUCGCAUCCUGGGGCGGUAGUACGUCCCAAGGGUUGGGCUGUUCGCCCAUGAAAGCGGUACGCGAGCUGGGUUCAGAACGUCGUGAGACAGUUCGGUCCAUAUCCGGUGUAGGCGUUAGAAUAUUGAGAGGAGCCUUCUUUAGUACGAGAGGACCGAGAAGGACAUACCUCUGGUGUACCAGUUAUCGUGCCAACGGUAAACGCUGGGUAGCUAUGUAUGGAGUGGAUAACCGCUGAAAGCAUCUAAGUGGGAAGCCCACCUCAAGAUAAG